GGUCCCUGUUAAUUGAGAUGCUCAGUUCCUGUAUUUUUGGGUUUGGAUUUAUUUUCUUUGGUUGCAGGUACUUCCUUAUCUGGGCAGACUGACCUUUGUGAGGGGAAGGUUGGUGUGCCAGCCCAGAUGAUGUGAUCUGCGGAGGUCAUUCUGGACAUGCAGCAGGAUCUAGGAGGACAUGAUAAGUCAUCAUGAACAAAACCUGGGAGAAGCCUUGGAAUGAUUCCUUCAUAUUGUUUAGACCAGUCUGGAACGAAGAGACUCAAGUGACUCAAGUUUAUUGGGAAACACUCUCCUGUAAGAGGGAGAGAUAAAGAAGGGGCCAGGGUCUUGUCCCAGAAGGAAGAAGACCAAGUUCAUCUCUUUCCCAUAUCUUUUCUGGAAACAGAAAUAACUCAAAGAGGCUCAUCCUGAUGUUUGAUUUUGACAGUCCAGGACUUUAGGGA
Talpa occidentalis (Iberian mole) is the source of this 446-nucleotide long non-coding RNA. RefSeq lists it as uncharacterized. The record is from RefSeq and is a predicted model, not a curated record. NCBI's taxonomy places the organism in Eukaryota, Metazoa, Chordata, Mammalia, Eulipotyphla, Talpidae. The transcript has 4 exons.